This 492-nucleotide ribosomal RNA is filed under the name uncultured bacterium. Its description in RNAcentral is "partial 16S ribosomal RNA". It matches the Rfam family "Bacterial small subunit ribosomal RNA", at positions 29 to 507 of the family's 1533-position model. The record is from RNAcentral.
AGUGAACGCUGGCGGUAGGCCUAACACAUGCAAGUCGAACGGCAGCACAGUAAGAGCUUGCUCUUACGGGUGGCGAGUGGCGGACGGGUGAGGAAUACAUCGGAAUCUACUUUUUCGUGGGGGAUAACGUAGGGAAACUUACGCUAAUACCGCAUACGACCUACGGGUGAAAGCAGGGGAUCUUCGGACCUUGCGCGAUUGAAUGAGCCGAUGUCGGAUUAGCUAGUUGGCGGGGUAAAGGCCCACCAAGGCGACGAUCCGUAGCUGAUCUGAGAGGAUGAUCAGCCACACUGGAACUGAGACACGGUCCAGACUCCUACGGGAGGCAGCAGUGGGGAAUAUUGGACAAAGGGCGCAAGCCUGACCCAGCCAUACCGCGUGGGUGAAGAAGGCCUUCGGGUUGUAAAGCCCUUUUGUUGGGAAAGAAAAGCAGCAGGUUAAUACCCCGCUGUUCUGACGGUACCCAAAGAAUAAGCAACGGCUAACUUCGUG